This 138-nucleotide ribosomal RNA is filed under the name uncultured bacterium. RNAcentral describes it as "partial 16S ribosomal RNA". It matches the Rfam family "Bacterial small subunit ribosomal RNA", at positions 355 to 509 of the family's 1533-position model. The record is from RNAcentral.
UCGGGAAUAUUGCACAAUGGAGGAAACUCUGAUGCAGUGACGCCGCGUGCAGGACGAAGGUUUUCGGAUUGUAAACUGCUUUAGACAGGGAAGAAGAAAGACAGUACCUGUAGAAUAAGCUCCGGCUAACUACGUGCC